GUGAAGUAUUUAGAAAAAAACAGCAGCUGUUGCCCUCGCUUCUGUCGGCCUAUCGACAGUCGCCAAACCAUUAAAAAAUCAUUACAAACAAACGGAACAAUGGGGUUGCACGAACGAAAAAAGGAGAGAGUGCCUCCU
Molecule: non-coding RNA, 138 nt
Organism: Caenorhabditis elegans
Lineage: Eukaryota; Metazoa; Nematoda; Chromadorea; Rhabditida; Rhabditidae
Source: Ensembl